Molecule: long non-coding RNA, 3771 nt
Organism: Bombus huntii
Lineage: Eukaryota; Metazoa; Arthropoda; Insecta; Hymenoptera; Apidae
Exons: 2
Source: RefSeq, a predicted model, not a curated record
AAGGCGUUGCGUUCUCGUGGAUCUUUUCUCGGGUAUAUGUAUGUAUAUAACUUCAUGGAAGAUAUCGAUGCUUCUUUUCUCGGAAGGAAUAGCCGACAGAUCGACCGUAGAAUGAUGCCACAAUAACGAGUACAGAGGGCGAUUUUCGUUCGAUGAAAAGACAUUAAAAGAUUUUAAAAAGAAAAAAGAUGAAGAAAUUGAAGAUAUUUACCGUUCGAUUAGGACGGUUAAGUAAAUCACAAACAUUGUGUUCCACAAUAUACGAUAGUAUCCGUUUAUGGUGUGUUUCGAUUUGUACCAGAUACCGGAAGAACAGAUCAAAAUUGUAAUUCAUUAUGCAGUGUAUAUAUGCGUGCAUAGUAUUAGUUUGAGUUUACUGUUUCUGAUCAUGUAAGCAAGUGUCAUCGUUGUUAAUAUUAGCGGCAAUUUGUAUAAUGUAGACAAUAUUACGGCGACGUUAGAAACACAUACUUUAGUUACAUAUAUCGCCUUUGUUGUAAAAGCAACGAAUGUUAAUGUCUUCCGUGUACCUGGGUGUGUGUGUGUGUGUUAGAACCAAUAUCACAUGAUUUGUGAUGAGAAAAAAAAAAACAGAAAAAAAGACAAAAAUACAUGUAACAACUAUAUAGUAUCGACUAAAUUAGUUUAAGGAUUGCAUUCGGUUGCAACUAACGCGGAAAUACGAGGACAGUAAGCGAUCAAACGGAAACAUUCGUUUGAUCGCGGUAUCGACGUCGCGACGUAUAAUGCAAUGUGAAACACAAGUGACAUGUGAUUACCAGUGUGUCUUAGACCAAAAAAUCUUAAAUCGAUCGACUGCGUAAAAAUAAAUAAAUAAAACAAGUAAAAAAAAGACAUAAAGUGUAUAUGAAAACAGAUAGUCAUAUAUAAAUGUCUAGUAGCCAGCACCCUGCGGAUUUGAACGCAAAUAAAAAAGAAAAACGCAGUAUUCUCAGUGUAACAGGUUUACAUUUAUUGUCUCGAUCUCCCCUGGUUUAGGCAUAUAUUAAUAAAUGUAAUAUUCAUUGCCAUUCAUUAAUGUGGCUUACAACGUGGGGCUGUAUUAAAAGUAAAAUCGACGAUUUUCUUUUAAAAGUACCAUUCUGAUGCGCUUCACGCCAUAUAUAUAUAUAUGUAUAUCCGUAUAUUAUACAUAUGUAUAUAUUGGUUCGAAGCACGCUCUCUCGAAAUUUCUUUGAACAGCGCACGACGACGAGUCGUGUUACAAGCAACGAAAAGACUACUACCUACUGCUCUUAUCAUCGUUAACAAUUCCACGUUUACUCUUUCUAUUUUGGCUUAUUUCUUCGUCACGAACUUCGAACCCUGACCGCGUGCUAUCACCAACUUUUUCGCCUGUUGCAACAGAUUAAACGAGCGUUUCUUUGUAUAUACUGUGCAAGUCGCACCGAUUAAACGUAUUAAAGUUGGUACAAGCGAAUAUUUAGUUAUCUUUCGUUGUAUAUAUGUAUGUGUGUGUACUUCCUUUCUCCCAAUUAAAAGUACGCAUUUCAUUGACAUGGCGAAUACUCCGGAACAACGGCAAGCAGCAGUCAUAUCUCUACGAUGAUAUCCUUACAAAUAUUGAAUGCUAAAAAUACUAAACAAGACAGUCUUCUUUCACUAUUAAUAAGUCUCAGUUUAUCGAUUCUUUGCACUUUCAAUUCGGUAAAACGAAUUGCAGAACAUAAUAUGUAUAUGCGUAUGAUCCGACUAGCGUUUAUCAACUGUUUCGUAUAAUAAAAGCUUUGAAAAUCGUACUUGUAUAAUAAUUGCAAAGUCAUAGAAAAACAGCGAAGAAGUGCGCUAGAACUGUUAUACCUGAUGUCGCUAUUUUUUCGUUCCUUAUAUAAUCGUCACAUUUUUCCUUCAUCUUAUAAUAUAAUGUCAUAAAUAUAAAAGAUGUGUGCUUUUUAAAAUAUAUAUAUAUGUAUUAUAUAUUAUAAAUAUAUAUGCACAUAUUAUAUAUAUAUAUUGUAAAUAUAUAUACAUAUAUUAUAUAUAUAUGCUGUAAAUAUAUAUACAUAUAUUAUAUAUAUAUAUAUUGCAAAUAUAUAUACAUAUAUAUUAUAUAUAUUGUAAAUAUAUAUAUAUGCAUAUAUUAUAUAUAAAAACACAUGUAUAUUAUGUAUGAAUGUAUAAAAAAGAUAGAAAAUAUGUAAAAUUAAAAGUAAGAAAAGCGUGGCUCGUAGUAUCAAAAAAAAAAAAAGAAGAAAAAAAUUAAGAAAAAGAAAUAAUAAUACAGAAUCUUUCUCGAGAAGUCACAAUAAUCAUAUGUAAAAAGACCUGCGUGUUUGAUCGUCCUCGAGACCAUAAUCGAUCUUGCCGGUGCUCCCAGAGCAUACCCUUGCAAUUGGCGCUCUCUCUCCCUCCCUCUCGCUCUCUCUUUCUCUCCUCUCUUAUAUCGUUUUACAUAAUUUGAUAUCAAUACCUUUUACUUUUUUAAUAGUUUAAGUUAAUUUAAACACAACUAACAGCAGCACAGCAUAGUCCGGUACUGACCUAUAACCAUUACGGACGGAUGGAUUCCGGGAGGUUCGCACGAUAUAUUUUUCUCCAUUAUCGGCCCGUAUUACCUCUUUCUCUUUCUUUGUAUUUUUGUCACACUCAUUCAUGUAGGUUCAGUACUUACACCGUCUAUGAUUCUUAUUCCAUACAAAAAUAAUUACGUUAUAUAUAUAUCGUCUAUAUAUUGCCAUGCGUACGUUAUAUAUAUAACAUCUUUCUUUAUACAUUUUUGCCCAAGUACUUUUUUUUCGUUAAGUUAUUCGCAAACGCCAUUCGCCUCGCAAUACUCGCCGGUACAGCAUAUCGUUCAAAUAGGAAAUACGAUAUUGCUGUACGCUUUCAUUAGGAAAGAAAGUUGAGGAACAUGCUACGAAGCUGUUUUCGAUGUUAUCUCGUUUAAAUUAAAUCUUAAUAGGAACUUUCUAACGAAAUAAGUAUCUGAAUCAUAGAAUAUUCGUACGUUUAGGAAAUAUUAUUCAACGGGACAAGUAGCAAAAAAUAAAAUGCAAAGUGCAUGUAAAAUGAGGUUAUGUUCGAAUACCUGCAUUAGUCGAUCGAUCGAUUAAAAAAAUCCUCAUUUUUAAAAUAUAGUUCGAUCGUGGGAUCGCAUGACUAGAUUUAUACGCGUUUAUUAGCUUUCGGUUCACUAAGGAUAUCGACGUUUUGCAUUAAAAUACACGAUGGUACCUACAUUCUUUUUCCAAACAAGGCACUAGGCGGAAAUGAUCCAUUAAUUCUAAUUAGUCGUGUAUAUACUCGCGCGAAGUAUUGCGAUGUCAAUGGCUGCGAAUAGAUGGUGCGCAAACUUUACUUUUCUACCAAUAUAAUGAAUUCUGAGCAAAUAGUGGAGGGACUCGGUCUGAGUUCGGCUAAUUUGAUCACCUCAUUACAGAGUUUUAUUGGUUCAAUGAAAAGGAAUUUGAUUCGAGAGAUUAGGCAAAUGUACCUCUAAUACGUCUAUCGAUACGAAAACGAUUAUCCGAAUAAAUAAAAUUCGAAAUUGUUUAUCGAUGUAAAAUUCAUUAGGCGUUUCGCAAAAGCUUUGUAGUGAAAUUUCAAAAGAUUCUUUUUCCAUUUUUCAACGACUGUUACGUCUUACCUGUCAUACACUUAAUAUAGCGUAUAUUAUUUUCUAACCUAAUACUGCUUAGAAUCCAAACUCUAUAAUAGGAUGAGAAAUAAGCCAGUUAGCUAGCGACGAGCUAGCGGUGCAAUUAAAGAAAGAAAAAAGAUGGCAGAUGAAGUAGAAAAAAAAAAUAACAA